This 497-nucleotide ribosomal RNA is filed under the name uncultured bacterium. RNAcentral's name for it is "partial 16S ribosomal RNA". It matches the Rfam family "Bacterial small subunit ribosomal RNA", at positions 28 to 507 of the family's 1533-position model. The record is from RNAcentral.
GAUGAACGCUGGCGGCGUGCCUAAUACAUGCAAGUCGAGCGAACGGACGAGAAGCUUGCUUCUCUGACGUUAGCGGCGGACGGGUGAGUAACACGUGGAUAACCUACCUAUAAGACUGGGAUAACUUCGGGAAACCGGAGCUAAUACCGGAUAAUAUUUUGAACCGCAUGGUUCAAUAGUGAAAGACGGUUUUGCUGUCACUUAUAGAUGGAUCCGCGCCGCAUUAGCUAGUUGGUAAGGUAACGGCUUACCAAGGCAACGAUGCAUAGCCGACCUGAGAGGGUGAUCGGCCACACUGGAACUGAGACACGGUCCAGACUCCUACGGGAGGCAGCAGUAGGGAAUCUUCCGCAAUGGGCGAAAGCCUGACGGAGCAACGCCGCGUGAGUGAUGAAGGUCUUCGGAUCGUAAAACUCUGUUAUUAGGGAAGAACAUAUGUGUAAGUAACUGUGCACAUCUUGACGGUACCUAAUCAGAAAGCCACGGCUAACUACGUG